AUUGAACGCUGGCGGCAGGCCUAACACAUGCAAGUCGAACGGUAACAGGAAGACGCUUGCUUCUUUGCUGACGAGUGGCGGACGGGUGAGUAAUGUCUGGGAAACUGCCUGAUGGAGGGGGAUAACUACUGGAAACGGUAGCUAAUACCGCAUAACGUCGCAAGACCAAAGAGGGGGACCUUCUGGCCUCUUGCCAUCGGAUGUGCCCCGAUGGGAUUAGCUAGUAGGGGGGGUAACGGCUCACCUAGGCGACGAUCCCUAGCUGGUCUGAGAGGAUGACCAGCCACACUGGAACUGAGACACGGUCCAGACUCCUACGGGAGGCAGCAGUGGGGAAUAUUGCACAAUGGGCGCAAGCCUGAUGCGGCCAUGCCGCGGGUAUGAAGAAGGCCUUCGGGUUGUAAAGUACUUUCAGCGGGGAGGAAGGGAGUAAAGUUAAUACCUGUGCUCAUUGACGUUACCCGCAGAAGAAGCACCGGCUAACUCCGU
Molecule: ribosomal RNA, 489 nt
Filed under: uncultured bacterium
Lineage: Bacteria
Description: partial 16S ribosomal RNA
Rfam family: Bacterial small subunit ribosomal RNA
Source: RNAcentral